UAAUACGUAGGGUGCAAGCGUUGUCCGGAUUUAUUGGGCGUAAAGAGCUCGUAGGCGGUUAGUCACGUCGGAUGUGAAAACCCGGGGCUUAACUCCGGGCCUGCAUUCGAUACGGGCUGACUAGAGUGUUGUAGGGGAGACUGGAACUCCUGGUGUAGCGGUGAAAUGCGCAGAUAUCAGGAAGAACACCGGUGGCGAAGGCGGGUCUCUGGGCAACUACUGACGCUGAGGAGCGAAAGCGUGGGGAGCGAACAGG
RNAcentral lists this ribosomal RNA (256 nucleotides) under uncultured bacterium. RNAcentral's name for it is "partial 16S ribosomal RNA". It matches the Rfam family "Bacterial small subunit ribosomal RNA", at positions 521 to 776 of the family's 1533-position model. The record is from RNAcentral.